GGAAGGAUCAUUGACACACGAUACCAAAAAACACAUGAUACGUUGCUGUUGUUGUUGCGCUGUGCUGCUGGCAGUUGCUGGGGGGGCCUCGUGCUCUCUCUCUUCUGCCGCAUGCAGGGCAACACCACACAAUAUAUACAAAACCUUUUUUGUGCCUCCCCAAACUUGUGUGCUCUCUCUCCUCACGGAGUCUGCGCGCCAGGUGGAAGAGUCAUAAAAUACAAAAAACAACAAAAAACAAAAAAAAUCUUAAAAACACCAAAAAAUAUUCAACGAUGGAUAUCUUGGUUCCCAUACCGAUGAAGAACGCAGCGAAAUGCGAUACGCAGUGCGAAUUGCAGAACGCGAGUCAUCAGAUCUUUGAACGCAAGUGGCGCCGGUUAGCAGCCGGCAUGUGGGGCUCAGUGUGUUUGGGAAAUCACAUAAGCGGAAUGUGGUUGAAGGGCGUGUGUGCUGCUGGUCUCGGCCGGCCGCAGACAAAUUCUUCUCCCAUUAAACGCAGCGGGUGCGCACAGCAGGAGUGCGAGUUUCACGACUCGCCCUUCGCCGCCGCCGCAGCGCACUCCUCCGGAAGUAGUCACUAGCAUCCUAGUGAUCUACGGAGCGGGAAAGCGAGCUUCUGGCGCGCACUCUUUGCAUUCUUUCUCCUCGUGGGAAAUUAAGCGAAGGGUUGUCUGUCACACCUAGCAAAAACAAAAUAACAAAUCCUCACACUACACCUGAGCUCCGCAAGAUCACCCGCUGAACUUAAGCAUAUCAGUAAGCGGAGGAAAAGAAACUAACAAGGAUUGCCCCAGUAGCGGCGAGUGAACAGGCAAAAGCUCAAAGUGGAAAUCCAGCGGCAUCAGGCCGUCGGAAUUGUAAUCUAGAGAGUCAAUGCGAAGGCAUGGAAUAACGUCGUGUGAGUUCCUUGGAAUAGGACGCCAAAGAGGGUGAUAGCCCCAUACGCAACGACGGCCGGCUGUAGCAAAGACCUCCAAGAGUCGGGUUGUUUGGGACUGCAGCCCUAAACGGGAGAUAAACUUCUUCUAAAGCUAAAUAUUUAUGGGAAACCGAUAGCGAACAAGUACUACGAAGGAAAGGUGAAAAGAACUUUGAAAAGAGGGUUAAAAGACUUGAAAUCGUUGAGUAGGAAGUGGUUGGAGGGUAGUCACUUGCUGCCGAGUCAUGUGCCGCGCUGGCUUCACCGGCCGCCGGUAGGGUGUUGCAGAAUCAUAACUGCCGCCCCGCCGGUCUGGUAACGGACGGCUGGCACGCUCUCGGUACGCAAAAGGCAGAGCGGGCUUUGGGAGAAGGCGUACGCCGUCUUCUGAAUCACGCGGGAGUAAGGGCUGCGCACCGGCUCACGCCAGCGCAGUCAGGCAAAACCGCGCCCAGGGCCGAGGGAAAUUAUUUACCGCUCCAGUAUGGAGGCUCUGCCAGACAAACUCACGACGUCUCCAACCGACCCGUCUUGAAACACGGACCAAGGAGUGUACCAAGCAUGCGAGUGAUAGGGUGGAAAAACCCGGCAUCGCGAAGAGAAAUCGAGUACAAGCAGCUCACAGUUUAUUCUUUCAGCUGCGGCCAACCGGAGGUCGUCGACCUCAGGCUUGAGCAAGAGCAUACUUGGUACGACCCGAAAGAUGGUGAACUACGCCUGAGUACGCCGAAGCCAGGGGAAACUCUGGUGGAAGGUGGAAGCGAUACUAACGUGCAAAUUGUUCGCCAAACUUGGGUGUAGGGGCGAUAGACCAAUCGAACCAUCUAGUAGCUGGUUCCCUC
RNAcentral lists this unclassified non-coding RNA (1764 nucleotides) under uncultured fungus. RNAcentral's name for it is "sequence contains 18S rRNA gene, ITS1, 5.8S rRNA gene, ITS2, 28S rRNA gene". The stretch from base 716 to 1764 matches the Rfam family "Eukaryotic large subunit ribosomal RNA", at positions 1 to 961 of the family's 3401-position model. The record is from RNAcentral. Lineage: Eukaryota; Fungi.